Jaculus jaculus (lesser Egyptian jerboa) is the source of this 136-nucleotide small nucleolar RNA. Its record names the gene SNORA70. It matches the Rfam family "Small nucleolar RNA SNORA70". From Rfam's summary of the family: snoRNA U70 seems to be exclusive to mammals and is a member of the H/ACA class of snoRNA which contain H (ANANNA) and ACA box motifs. H/ACA box snoRNAs are involved in the conversion of uridines to pseudouridines (5-ribosyluracil) a constituent of structural RNAs (transfer, ribosomal, small nuclear, and small nucleolar). NCBI's taxonomy places the organism in Eukaryota, Metazoa, Chordata, Mammalia, Rodentia, Dipodidae. The record is from Ensembl.
CUGCAACCAAUUAAGCAAACUGAAGUCCUCUCCUGGUGGUUGCUGCGCGCACCAUGGUCACAGGGAGCUGCCUCCUCAGUCAUUUAAUGACCUGGUGCCUGUUACAGGUGGCCCUAAGGGACCUUUGGAGACAUUC